GACGAACCGUCCAAACGUUAUUCGGAAUCACUGGGCUUAAAGGGUGCGUAGGCGGCUCGACAAGUUGGGUGUGAAAGCCCUCGGCUCAACCGAGGAAUAGCGCCCAAAACUGUCGGGCUUGAGGAAGACAGAGGUGAGCGGAACUUAGGGUGGAGCGGUGAAAUGCGUUGAUAUCCUAGGGAACACCAGUAGCGAAAGCGGCUCACUGGGUCUUUUCUGACGCUGAUGCACGAAAGCUAGGGGAGCGAAGAGG
This 253-nucleotide ribosomal RNA is filed under the name uncultured bacterium. RNAcentral describes it as "partial 16S ribosomal RNA". It matches the Rfam family "Bacterial small subunit ribosomal RNA", at positions 524 to 776 of the family's 1533-position model. The record is from RNAcentral.